AGGAAGAUCAGCUGUACCUGCCGGAGGUGAUUCAGAACUUCCAGGCAGCUCAGCUCAGGGGGCUCUGAGGCCAUCCUGGACCUCCGAUGUUACGCCCUUUGGGAAAGUGGGGAGGAACAGAAACCAGCAGUCAACAGCAUCCCUUCUCUGCUGGCCUUUGCCCGAAGGUUCCCCCAUCUCAGAGCAAGUAGCUCUCCCUCAUGGAUUCCGUCCUUUCAUCACUUCCAUCUCCCCAAGAGGCUCCCAAGGCUACUCAUCCUCUGCAGUUGAGAACAGACCUGACUGAAAAGAACGGCUUCCUCUUCUGGUGACACCAGAGAAUUCUAGAAGACAUUCACCCUUUCCAUAGCAUUAUGGAUGCACGAUUCCCACAGACAAGUUUCUUGGCAAGACAAGGGCCUUCUCUGGCCACUUGAGUGUCCUCCUCAGCAUCUCCAAAGAAGGAGCUGGGUUGCAAGAACUGCAGCAAAGGGGGGGGGGCAACCCAGGCUAAUGGGGGGGCUGUCUAGCUAGGAAAGCAAGACCCAGAGACAGUUGUGGGAGACCCAGAGACCGGCUUCCUCUGUGCCGGAGCCAAAGCUGCGAGAGAUGGAGAAGCCAGACCUGCUGGGGGUGUCAAUGCUGUGAGCCCCUCCAUCCUACACUCUGGUUGAAUUUUAUAAUGAAUGAUUUUAGAUUGUUCUGUUGUGUUGUACUGUUGUACUGUUUUAUUGUUGUUAGCCGCCCUGAGCCCGGCUUCGGCUGGGGAGGGCGGGAUAUAAAUAAAAUGUAUAGUGUUUCUGUGGAAGCGCUAGGGUGGACAUCUC
Non-coding RNA from Podarcis muralis (Common wall lizard), 806 nucleotides. NCBI's taxonomy places the organism in Eukaryota, Metazoa, Chordata, Lepidosauria, Squamata, Lacertidae. The record is from RefSeq and is a predicted model, not a curated record.